This 273-nucleotide non-coding RNA is filed under the name uncultured Bartonella sp. Lineage: Bacteria; Pseudomonadati; Pseudomonadota; Alphaproteobacteria; Hyphomicrobiales; Bartonellaceae. The record is from RNAcentral.
GGAAUAAUAGUCUGGACAGAGCCUUUACCAAAAGACUGCGUGCCCAAGACCGUGGCACGUCGAUGAUCUUGCAGGGCACCGGCAACAAUUUCCGAAGCACUUGCCGAACCACCAUUGAUAAGAACGAUCAAUGGUUUUCCAUUGAUGAUAUCGCCCGAUUUUGCGUCAAAGCGCAUCACCUCUGCUUCAUCUCUGCCGCGGGUGGAAACAAUCUCUCCCUUAUUCAAGAAAGCAUCCGAAACACUGACAGCCUGAUCAAGCAGACCACCCGGG